UCCCUGGUGGUCCAGUGUUUAGGACUCAGUGCUUUCACUGCCGGGGCCCAGGUUCAAUUCCUGGUCAGGAGA
This 72-nucleotide transfer RNA is filed under the name Ovis aries (sheep). It matches the Rfam family "tRNA". From Rfam's summary of the family: Transfer RNA (tRNA) molecules are approximately 80 nucleotides in length. Their secondary structure includes four short double-helical elements and three loops (D, anti-codon, and T loops). Lineage: Eukaryota; Metazoa; Chordata; Mammalia; Artiodactyla; Bovidae. The record is from Rfam by way of RNAcentral.